ACAACAACAUUUUCAUCAUUUCCACAAAUCAAUCAAUUUUCACGGGUUUAAUAGCACUAUUUUCAUCAUUUACACAAUUAAAUAUAUUUCAUGGGUUCAACAACAACAUUUUCAUCAUUCCCAUAAUUCAUUCAAAUUUCAUGGGUUAAACAGCAUCAUUUUCAUCAUUCACACAAUUCAAUCAAAUUUCAUGGGUUUAACAACAACAAUUUCAUCAUGCGCACAUUUUAACCAAUUUUCAUGAGUUUAACAACAAUAAUUUCAUCAUUUUCACAAUUCAAUCAACUUUCAUGGGUUUAACAACAACAUUUUCAUCAUUGACACAAUUCAAUCAAAUUUCAUGG
Molecule: long non-coding RNA, 344 nt
Filed under: Lathyrus oleraceus (garden pea)
Lineage: Eukaryota; Viridiplantae; Streptophyta; Magnoliopsida; Fabales; Fabaceae
Description: Pisum sativum (pea) long non-coding RNA (PSAT_LNC029302)
Source: RNAcentral